RNAcentral lists this ribosomal RNA (484 nucleotides) under uncultured bacterium. RNAcentral's name for it is "partial 16S ribosomal RNA". It matches the Rfam family "Bacterial small subunit ribosomal RNA", at positions 30 to 507 of the family's 1533-position model. The record is from RNAcentral.
AUUGAACGCUGGCGGCAGGCCUAACACAUGCAAGUCGAGCGGAUGCGGGGAGCUUGCUCCCUGAUUUAGCGGCGGACGGGUGUGUAACGCCUAGGAAUCUGCCUGGUAGUGGGGGAUAACGUUCCGAAAGGAACGCUAAUACCGCAUACGUCCUACGGGAGAAAGCAGGGGACCUUCGGGCCUUGCGCUAUCAGAUGAGCCUAGGUCGGAUUAGCUAGUUGGUGAGGUAAUGGCUCACCAAGGCGACGAUCCGUAACUGGUCUGAGAGGAUGAUCAGUCACACUGGAACUGAGACACGGUCCAGACUCCUACGGGAGGCAGCAGUGGGGAAUAUUGGACAAUGGGCGAAAGCCUGAUCCAGCCAUGCCGCGUGUGUGAAGAAGGUCUUCGGAUUGUAAAGCACUUUAAGUUGGGAGGAAAGGCUGCUGGUUAAUACCCUGCAGUUUUGACGGUACCAACAGAAUAAGCACCGGCUAACUUCGUG